ACCUGGAUGGCUCAAUGGGUGGAGCAUGCGACUCUUGAUCUCAGGGUUGUGGGUUUGAGCCCCACACUGGCUA
This 73-nucleotide transfer RNA is filed under the name Ailuropoda melanoleuca (giant panda). It matches the Rfam family "tRNA". From Rfam's summary of the family: Transfer RNA (tRNA) molecules are approximately 80 nucleotides in length. Their secondary structure includes four short double-helical elements and three loops (D, anti-codon, and T loops). Lineage: Eukaryota; Metazoa; Chordata; Mammalia; Carnivora; Ursidae. The record is from Rfam by way of RNAcentral.